AAUCCGAAGCAGGCUCCAGGUUCCGAGCUGUCAGCACAGAGCCCGAAUGCAGGGCUCGAACUCACGAGCCAUGAGAUCAUGACCUGAGCUGAAGUCGGACACUUAACUGCUUAACCACCUGAGCCCGCCAGGCACCCCUGGGGCUAGUUUCCCAAAGGGAGUGCUGGAGGAGGCAGAGCAGGGAUGUGACUAUCCUCUGACCAGACACCUCCUGUGCACUGAGCGCUGUUUUAGGAACACUUGGAGAUCCCCUAAGGGACAACAAACACUGUCCCGCCCUUCAGGGAGCCUGCUUUCUAUGGAUGGUGGCAGCAAAUUAACCGAGAAUUACAGUCCAAGCUGUUGAGUGCCGUGGCAAGGAGCAUGUAGGUUGCCCUUGUCUCCAAUAUCAGGGGGGUGCACCUGGGGACCUGUCAGCCCUCCCCUGACACAGGGGAGGGCUCUGGAACCCCGCUGCCUGAAUCUCUGCUAUGGCUUGACCGCUUCGCAGCUGGGUGAUCCCCACUCCUGGCUUCAGUUUCCUCAAUGAUGGUAAAACAGACUGAUAAUAGCCGGAUCUGCUGCGGAGGUUUAUGGUGAGGAUGAAAUCCGUUAAAACAUGUGACACGUUGAGGCAGAGACUGACACAUAAGAAGUCCUGGAUUAAGCACUGCCAAACUUCCCUGGCGCUCACUCUGGGCCAGACGCAGAAACAGCCUUAGGAAGCAGGUAAUACUGUCAUCGGCGCGUUUACAGUGAGGAAACAGAAGCACAGUGAGGUGGGGUGGCCUCCUCAGUCACAUGGCUAAAGGUGGUUACUUUCUUUUUCUCCUCUCUACUCUGUCAGUGAAGGAGGGAUUUCUACUCUCAAGUUAUGGGGAUGGCCCACGCGAUGCUGGACAGAUGGACACACAGCAGUUUAUUUGUCAGUGCUUCUCACGGCUCCAGGGUAGAGGACACCGCUUGCCUUGCGGGACCACACGGGUGUUUUUAGGACAGAGGGGACGGGCGGGGUUUGUAGUAACAAGAGGGCGGGGUGCCCCCUGGUUCCCGUGGGGGGACGCGGCUGGCUUGUUUGAGUUGUUCCGUGAGCUGGCAGGGAACUGAACCCCACCGCCCUGGGACAAGCAGGCGUUCUGUCUGUUCCCGUGAUAAGAAGUGAUGUUUGGCUGGGGAACCUUAUCUGCAAGAGUAACUUGGGGAAGAGAGUGUGUGGUUAGGCCGUUUGAAGCCCUCCGGAUUGUAUCAAAUGUCAAGGCGGCACUUAAUACUGAACCCCAAUUUCAGGCCUUAUGGCACAGUGAUCUGGUGGGCUUUAGGACCCAGGCAGUGUGGAUCUAGGAUCAUGUCUGUCUAUACUGCUCUGCAUUACCUAAACCUGAAACAGAAUGGUUGUUCCCUCAUCAUCUCUAUGCUAUUAUUCACGCCCGCAUCUCUGCCUGGAAUUUCCUCUUGAUUCUCAAGCACCUCCUAUUGAAAUCCUCUCUGUUCCCCCAAGCCCACCUCAAAUGCCACUCACUAUAGGAAGUUCUUUCUCUUAUCCAGAUAGGGCCCCUCCUUCAUUUCCAGGUAGCGCUGUAGAGCGGAAGGGACAUAGUCUUUGAAACCAGAAAAAUCAUGGCUGAGUCUCUGGCUUUGCUACUUAUUUUGCUACAUGAUCUGGGGGAACAAAUUGGACUGAGUUAGCCUUGGUUUGCCCAUUUCUCAAAUGAGGGUGAUAACUCUCGUUGAAAUGGUACUGUGAGAUUAUCUGUGAAAGUGGGUACAAAAUGCUGAGUAUUUAGAAGGCGCAUGAUAAAUACAAAUUUCCUUCUCUUGAAUCAUUUCAUAUUUCUACCAAUGCCUGGAUUAUUGUGCUUCCUACUCCAACUAUUUGCAUAUUUGUUUUGCUUACUCUCUACCAGGCCAUAUGCUUGGAGAUGGUUGAUAAUUUCCACUUUUCUCCUUUUUGUCCUUGUCCAGACUCUUCAGGGCUCACCAUCACUCUCCACAUGGUGGAUAUUUUUUAUCAACAGUAGAAGGAACUCUCAGCAUAUUCUGCUCUAGAAAUCAGCAGGCCUGUCUAGGACAAUACCAUGCUGUGCUUCUAAGGAAACACAGUUGCUUGAACUGCUAAUAAAGCCUUUUUCCUGAAGUAAACAUAGUUGGCGGAGAUAGCCCAAUGAUAUCAAUUUAUAUUGCAUGAAAGUGAUAUAUACAAUCCCGACGUGAGGUUGAAUGAGGGGUACAGUUUUCAAAACCUGAAGAGGGACAGGAUGUCAAGAAAGAGAAAAAAAUAGGUGUCAAAAGACGACACUUGGAGCUUCUAAGGCAAAUGUUGCUCUUUUAUAAUUUUUAGCAUAUAGAUUUGGAAAUGGGGAGGAAAUAAAUAUUUGUGCCGUUUGCCUGUAAAAUGUGUAAGGAAGAGAGACGAAAUUGCCGCGGGAAAGAAAUGUGUCAGUUUCCUAAGCAUUUCACAAGAAUUGUGCCUCCUUGUCUGUUCCUCGUGAAUGUAUUUGAUGGAGUACUGGAUGUAUGGAUUGGUAAGGACAAUGGAAGGUGGAAGUCAGUGGUUUACUAUUUCUUUUUCUCACUCAUCCCAGAUAAAUUGACUUGGUGUAAACAAGGCAUCUCACUUUUGUUUGUUUGUUUGUUUGUUUGUUUUUUUUAGGGUUUUUAGUUUGUUUCUUUUUUGAUGAAUAAAAUGAGAGGGACAGCGUUGGCCUCUGUCACAACGAAUCUAAGAAGUUUGACCAAAGUGAGCACCUAGUUUUGAGGUCAUCAAAUGCUUGUUUCCAAAUAGGCCCCAAGGGAGAAGGAAAUCUUUUUCUGUGAUUCUAGAGCUUCUGGUGUAGGGGGAGGUGAGCAUCACCUGGGCAGCUACAUUUCUUGGUCAGCAACGCACUGGCUCCCUGUUAUGUGACGCUAACUGUUUUGGAGCCUUAAGAAAUCUCAGCUGUCAAGAAAACUCCACAAUUGCAAGUAAGUACGGAAGUCUGAAGGAACUGAAACUGUUUCCAGAGUCCAUUGACUCCUGACCAGCCAGGGUAUCAUUUCUACCGUGUGAGACGUGCAUUUGCUCUGUGUAUGGGCUUUGGGUGUAAUCUGUCCAGUUUUUCUACCCAACACUUAUAUAGGUUAUCAGUUACAGAUUCCUCUCAAAAAAUUGAAUAUACUUUAGAAAUUGCUGAAGCCACCUGAAACCUUUUUUUUGAAACAAAUUAAACAAAUGUUCUAAAUAAAUGCAUAAAUGAUACUGUCUACAGUAUCGUAAUUUGCUACCUGUUGAGUUAUUAUCCUUUCAGUGAUUAGCAAUCUGUUUUUUUCACUUGUUCUAUUCUGUCUUGCUAGUGACAAGAAAGGAGCUGGGGACAUUUGAAUUAAUUGUGCAGAUGCGUUAGUAUUAAUCUUUAUGUAACUUGGAAUGUGCCUGAAUAUCAGGAAAGCUAUUUCCAUUGCUAUUUGUGGAGGGAGAAGAGUUGGCAGGAAAACUGAAUAAGAAAAUAGACUAAGAAAAAAUAUAUUUGAAUGAUAGCAAAUGAAAUUUAAGCUCAGCUUAACACAGGAUUUCCCUCUGGUAGGUAAGACCCGCGCAGCUUUAAAUCUUACUUAUGGCUCAGCCAGAUUGUGAAUAGAAAUGGGAAAGAGGGACUAGGGUGGGGGUGAAGAGUUUCAGUGAAUUUCCAAACUGCAAAAUGGAGGUACCUUCUAUCUGGACUGUAAGUGGAAUUUUGAGGAGGUUUAUCAAGAGUCUUCAAAAUCAUUUUUCUGGAACCAUCUUUGAGAUGACGAUCGGCAGGCAUCUCGUCUGACUGAUGUAAUCAGGAGAAGAGGGUUUCAGGCGUGACAGAAGGAAAUGAUCUGCAUUUAUAUGCUAGGCUGGGUGAUGGUGCAGGAUUCCUGUGCAUAAAAUAAUCAUUUGGACAACAGUCCUCAUUUCCGGACUGAGGAGAGGAUAGCAGAAAAGCCUGCAAACUAUAUGCUUGGAAAUCCUCUCGGCUGAAAAGCUUCUAAUGGAAUAUAACAUUUACGAUAAGUCUCUCCUCCAAGUUUAGUAUCUUUUUGUUAUUAACACUGCUUGGGAAGAUGUGGUUAGUUUAAUGUUCUGAUUAACAACAAUGAUGAGUUUGCCAAUUUUCACAUAGGGAAACAGCAUUCGUAAUAGAGUAUGAAGAUCGUGUGCCGAGCAUUUUAAUGACCGUUCAUCAUAAACGUAGUUACAUGUUCAGAAGGAGAAACGUUGAAAAGGGACGUAGUCAUAAUUGUCAAACCGAUGUUUUUUUGGCAUACAGCUGAAUCAAAUGCUUACGUGGUUAAUUUCUGUGCACUAAACCAAAUUUGACUGGUGUUUGAGGCCCUGCUGUGAAGUAGGGGCUGUAUCUGUCCCAUCUUUGCGUCCCGGGGUCUUGUACCGUGUUGGCAAGUAGCAAGGGCUCCAUCAAUGAUUGCUAAGCAGCGUAAAUAAUUUUAAACCAUUGAAAACCCCAAGCCUGAUGCUAGCCAGUAAUUCCAACCACAUUUCCUACAAAAUCUUUUAUUCAUGCGCUCGAUACCUGUUUCAAUCGACUAGUUGGCAUUUUAUCUCUUUUUGACUCCGUAUUUAUGAAGGCUUUGAAUCAAUUAUUUUGUUCUUGAAAUUAUUUUUGGUGCCAAUAUACUUGACAGAGGCCCAAAAGCAGUAUCCAAGGAGCAGUCUGUGAGUGAAUAUGUCUACCUGCCAAAUUCAAAGGAUACAACGUCCCAACCCUCCAAGGCUACAAACCCGCAGGGAUACCAUACAAACUUGUAUGCGGGUUGAAGCUGCCACCUACCCGGGUUGAUCCCCAACUGGCAUUGCCGGGGGCCUAAAAGGACACCUGUUUCCUUGAGUUGCUCAUGGGUCCACGGUGAGUCUUCUGAGGUCAUUACUAAUAACAAAGCCCAGAAAGACUCCUUCCCCCUGACAGUCUCGGCCAUGUGUAGGUGAGAGCCCAAGUAUCUUACAUGAGUCCCGUGGUUCACAUUCUUUAUUUCAAAGGAGAGAAAGGUGAUCUGAUGACUGAAGUGGGUGUCCACGCCAAUGUAACCGAACACCCAACACCAAAAAAAAAAACAACUCUGCUUAAACAAACAAACCAAAACCAAAACCAACACCUUCCUGAGAUCUUAGUUUGUAAUAAAGGCAUCAUCUUUAUUUGCCUGUUUUUAGUAGCGAGGUGAGGCAGUAUAAGUUCUGGGAGCACCGGGAUCCUUCCUAUUUUGCUCAUGUUCUCAGUGGUAACAGAGUGCCGGACACACAGUGGGUGCUCAAGCAAUAUUUGUCGAAUGAAUGGUAGACGGGGUGAGAAAAAUGUGAAGACAGUGCUGGGUAUAUGGCUUUAUAGCCAACACUCAGAUAUUUUUUCCUUCUUUUCGUGGAUAUGUUUUCUCUCAUCUUUCAAGCCUCUUUUUGGCAUAUUGUGUAUGCCCCGUGGUAGACACUAGGGGACACACGACAAAGACUGAGAAGAUUAGCAGUCAUUGGACGAGUCCCUCGUUAGUCUUCGUUCACCGACUUCUUUAUUCACUUAACAAUCAUUUGUUCUUUUUACAAAAUAUGGCUUUACCAUUGGAUGCUGUUUCUGAAACGAGUCCUGUUUCCAAUGUUAUCCUCUAAUGCACCUUGCAGUUUAGAAGCAAAGACCGAACAGUUAAAGAUAGGGAGAAGAAUCUAAACUGAUCAAAAAGGUGUAAUAAUAUGGACCAUUAAUCCCUAGAAGUAGAGUAUUCCACUGUGGAGUAUUAAAUUAGAGAAAGGCCAGGUCUAAUAAGUAUCAGCUUAGAUACUGUCAAAGAAAAAUUGCUGAAACCAACUUGGCUAAAGGAAGAUUUAGCCAUAAGAUCUUUUGAGAGUAAAAAUUUGAGGAGACAAUAUAAAAAUGGAACCGUUAGCUGAGUUCACUCAUUGCCACAGUUAAUAUAAACAGUUAUUACGCUGCGUGACCUCAAGCCCAGGAAAACAGACUCUUUUAGAUUUGCAGUUUCAGAUUACCUUUAUGCCUAAUCCAUUUAAAAGCAUAACACAUUUCAAUUAACCAACAUCAAAUACUCCUUAAUGAAUAUAAACCAUUCAGGAAGAAAACAUGAGUCCUAAUAUAUUCCAGUUGGAAAUGGGAAGGCAUGUUGAAGUCAUUUUGUCCAAAUCUCCUAUCUUCUAGACAGGAAAUUGAGGUGAAGACAGGUCAAGUGACUGAUUCAGUGUCACACAAUUAGGGCACAUAACUUCUACUAUAGUAUUCUUCACACUAUAUAGUCAUACUUCCAUUGAACAUCAAUAAAUUAUCUUCCUGGCACAAGGCGAUCUGGUCAGAUUUUUGAAGGGUUCAAGUUAACUCUGUGUGUUGAGCAUAUACCCAUACAGACCCUCAAGACCGAGGCUCCCCCAAAUCACAAUCAACUGGAAUCUACCUGAACCCUACCUCCAGACAGUGUUUGUUUGAAUACAACAAAUGUGAUAAGUUUGAUGACUGUCUGAAUUUAAAUUUGGAUGGCUUGAAGACUGACUUAUGUCCCUGUAGUACACGAUUGAUAGCAAAUCAGUAAGAGAGAAUCAGUAAGUAGAAAGCAGUAAGAGAAACCAAAUGCUUCUCAUCCUUGAGACAAGCGUAUGGCAUAAUUAUUCUCCUUUGUUUAUUUACUGCCAUUGAAGGGUGUUACAGAUGAGGAAACUGAAGCCCAAGGAAGGUCUUGAAAUCAUUUAAGUGACACAGCUGUCAUUCAAGUCUAGUGUGUGGUCUCCUCCCAUGAUGGUCAAUUUUAUGUAUCACCUUGGCUAGGCUACAGUGACCCGUUGUUUGGUCAAACACCAGCCAUGAUGUUGCCAUGAAGGUAUUUUUUAGAUGUGAUAGAUUUGUAAAUGAGACUUUGGAGAAAGAAGAUUACCUACUGUGGUGUGGGUGGGCCUCAUUAGUUCUAGCUGAAGACCUUAAGAGCAAAGACUGAGGGACACGGCUUAGUUGGUUAAGUGUCCAAUUCCUGAUUUUGGCUUAGGUCAUGAUCUCAUGGGUUUAUGAGUUCGAGCCUUGUGUUGGGCUUUGUGCUGACAGUUCAGAGCCUGCUUGCGAUUCUCUCUCUCUCUCUCUCUCUCUC
This is a long non-coding RNA of Acinonyx jubatus (cheetah), 7065 nucleotides long. RefSeq lists it as uncharacterized. The record is from RefSeq and is a predicted model, not a curated record. Lineage: Eukaryota; Metazoa; Chordata; Mammalia; Carnivora; Felidae. The transcript has 2 exons.